Molecule: ribosomal RNA, 445 nt
Filed under: uncultured bacterium
Lineage: Bacteria
Description: partial 16S ribosomal RNA
Rfam family: Bacterial small subunit ribosomal RNA
Source: RNAcentral
GUGAGGAAUAUUGGUCAAUGGACGAGAGUCUGAACCAGCCAAGUCGCGUGAAGGAAGACGGUUCUAUGAAUUGUAAACUUCUUUUGUGCAGGAAUAAAGUGGGUUACGUGUAACCUUUUGUAUGUACUGUACGAAUAAGGAUCGGCUAACUCCGUGCCAGCAGCCGCGGUAAUACGGAGGAUCCAAGCGUUAUCCGGAUUUAUUGGGUUUAAAGGGUGCGCAGGCGGGUUGAUAAGUCAGCGGUGAAAGUUUGCAGCUUAACUGUAAAAUUGCCGUUGAAACUGUCGAUCUUGAGUGCAAAUGAGGUAAGCGGAAUGUGUUGUGUAGCGGUGAAAUGCUUAGAUAUAACACAGAACACCGAUUGCGAAGGCAGCUUACUGGGAUGCAACUGACGCUCAUGCACGAAAGCGUGGGGAUCAAACAGGAUUAGAAACCCGGGUAGUCC